GCCAGCAGUCCUGCUUUUUGAUUUGUGAAAUUACUUAUCUUCUUUGAAGUGGAAGAGAUAGUACACUAAAGUUCCAUGGUGGCAAAACUGCUUGUGGUUCAUCCAACUGCUGUCACAUUUCACAAUGGCAAGAUCAGUCAGAGAAGAGCUCAGCAGAGCUGAAUGCUUACAGAAGACAAACAGCUAUUCAGCGCAUCUGCCAAUGACUUCAGUGUUUCUCUACAAGGCUACCUGAAGUGCAGAAUGUCAUCUCAACAGUAUGCAUAUGUUAGAAGAUAUAGGCAGGUAGGAAGUUUUGUGGGUUUUUUUUUUUUUUUCCUCCCAUGAAGUCACUAUCGAAGAAGUUUAUUCUCCUCUUAAAAUACCUGACAAUCUUUCAUUUUUCCUCAUCUUCAGGAUUUCAUUCUUUAGUGUUCUAGAUGGAAAAAGUUUUAAAGGACCUGACUCAGAGUUUGUCUUCCUCUUCCUACAAAGUUAAAGGAGAUCAUUCUCGAAUAAUAAAACUGUAAAUUCACAUUUGGAUAUAGCA
This 529-nucleotide long non-coding RNA is filed under the name Numida meleagris (helmeted guineafowl). RNAcentral describes it as "lncRNA (ENSNMEG00000008826.1)". Lineage: Eukaryota; Metazoa; Chordata; Aves; Galliformes; Numididae. The record is from RNAcentral.